GUCCUAAUUGCCAGUACCCCCAAAUGCAACCUCAUUUGGGAAUAGUGUCUUUGAAGACAGAAUUAGGUAUGAUAAAACGGGCCUUUAAUCCAAUAUGGCAGGUGUCCUUAUAAGAUGCAGAGAAUCGGACACAGACAGGCAGACAGACACUGGGGAGACAGCCACGUGACGAUGGAGGAGCAGAGCAAAGCAUCUACAAGCGAAGGAGAGCCUCGAUGGCCUGGAAACACCCCCUGUGGGUUUCAGAGGGGUGAGCGCUGCUGACAGCUUGGCCUUGGGCUUCUGGCUUCCAGAACCAUGGGACAGUGACAUCCUGUUGUCUGAGCCACAGUUUGUGGUACUUCACUGUGGCAGCUCCAGGAAGCUGAAGACAACUGCUCUAACCCGAUAAACAUGAUCCGCUGGAAUGUGCCUCUGGGAUAAAAUUUGCUGUGUCAGGGGACGAUUCUUUCCCACUAAAAGAUGAAGAUUAAAGUCCAGCCUGGAAGAGGAACCAAGGUCAGACGUCGUUCUCCCCUCUGGUGACGAGAUCGUGCAGGCUCUUGAGGCUGCUUUUGUCUGCUCCAGCUUUGUCGCUUUAAUCCCCCUGAAGACACGCGCCCUCCCACCGACAGAGCCACCGUUCUCUCCGUGGUCUGCGUACAAACCAAUGUCCUGAUCACCAGGUCCUAGGAUGAGACAAGACGAGCCUGCCCACGAGUCCCCUCCCGGGGCCCCCCGGGCCAGCUGUGAGUGUUUCUUUGGCAGUGUCUUAGCUGGUUGUUGUGAGUAAUAGUGAAGGAAGCAAUCAGCAAGUCUACUGCCCUAGAAGUGUGGCACGUUGGCGGCCGAGAGGGAGGGGAAGGCAGGUGGUGCAGGGCUGUUGCGAGAAGUUCCGCUCCAGGAUGCCGGUUGGUGAGUGCUGCUGGGGGGCAGCUGGAGGGCCCCUGUGAAGGCUGAAGGAAAAUGGCACAGGGGCCGGGCCAUGGAGGGCUCCGGCAAGGGUGGGAUGGCGGGCUUCUGGCUGGGGCAGAGUUUGCCCAUCAGGCUGAUAAUUCCAGCAUUUACAGGACACUUUCUACUCUGGCAGCCUUGCCCUGAGUGUUCUAAAUAUCAUAGCUCAUGAGCUAGAGUCCCUUAUCCCCAUCUUACACAGACAAACUCAGAAGCACAAAGAGAAUAAUUAACUGCAGACAUAGUGAAUAGAAAAGGGGGUGGGUUUGAAUCUGAACAGAUUCUCUUAGCCACUGGCUCGGGUCCUCCGAGAGGGGCCUGGGUGGGUUUUGCUCCCCAUGGACCUGAUUUGAAUGUGAACCAUGCACACGCUGUCGCACCCAUGAGACAAAUCCUGAUUGCAGUCAUGAAGCUGGAGAAGGCGUCUGCCCGAGCAGUGGAGAAGUCUCCACACUGGGGAGAACUCUUCUUUUCAGUCAAAGCCAAGCCCAGGAUAUCCACGGGCAUGAGAAGCUGGUGGUGGUUUCUGUCCUUGGCCUAUAAGAAAGCUUCCUCCAAGGGGACUCGGCCGAGAUGAGAGUCAAGUUCUCUGGGUCCCACCAGCUCCGCCUACAGAAGACAACUUUGGGUCUACCGAACCUCAGUUCAGUCCAGCUGGAUUGUGUGGCAGUGGGAACGGCACCCAAGGCCCGAGGGUGGAGCAUGAAGACGCAGUGGUGCUUCUCCAGGUCUGGGACAGGACACAGCCAUGGUCUCUGGUGAGCCUGGGAUAAGCCACGAGUGGGGCCUGUACUUCGGCAGACCUCACGGGAGCAGCCUUGGCCUUGGCUUUCUCCCUUCAGCCUCUUGGCACUCUGUGGCGUUGAGCCAGAGGCACUCCAGUUCUCCAUCCCGCUCUUUUCUCCAUGGUUCUCCAAUCUGGCACCUGCAGAAAUUGAUCCUAGCCUGAGAGGUGAUGCCGAAGGUCAGUGCCCUGCUCCUCUGACCCCACUGGCGAAGACGACCGCCAGAGUCAGGUGGUGCCACUGGUGGUGGGGCCUCCAGCACCUGCUGUGACCCCCGUGCUCAGCAUGCCCGCGUGCUGCUCCCUGUCAAGCCACUGCCCAGGCACCACCUGCCCACACCACCUGCCUAUCCCAGUGCUUCCCAGACUUGGAGGGGAGAGGAGCCUGCUUCUGUUCUGACCACUUUAUGAAGGUCAGAAGGCGCCUUCGAGAGUUUUUCUGGGAUUCGGAGACCAUCGUUGGCCUUGACACACUCUGGCCACUAAGACCCCCCUCCAUUCUAAGCCUGUUCUCCCUUUCUCUUACGACUGGAGAGCAAAGCGAGCAGCCGGGCUCCGUCGGCAAAAUCUCAUCCCUACUGGAAUUGUUCUGUUGUCCUCAAAGAGGCUGGAGCUCCAAGGGGUCGCUUCAGAGAGGGUCCUUCUGUGACACCCGUUGGAUUGACCGAGCCCACCCGGCCACAAAUUCCCCUCUGCUCCCCGGGCCCACUGAGCUGGGCGUGGGCUGGAGUGGGGCUGGUGAAACGCCCGGAAUGCUGGCUGGAAUUACAGACCAACACUGAUAACUCCUUACGGGAGUUUUUUUCCGAGGCAGCAUUUAGGAUUGCUUUAGAUCUGAAGUCUUUACAUUUUCCCCAAUUUUAGGCAGAAGUAAAGAAUGUCUUUUUUUUCCCUUGACCACUGAUUUUUUUCCAGGUACUGAACUUUUAGGGGCCACUUGCUGGGUUUAUGAACUCACUAGCCUAUUAAUUUGAGUUCAGGUGAAAAAAGUACAAAUAACCUCUUUUUCUAUCUAGGUUUGAUUUUAGUUAUGCCAACAUAAAAACAAGAGAGGUUGUCAUUCUCAGAUACAGUUCACCAGUGGAAGUUCCUGGGAAAUUAAUAAAGAAAUGGAGACAGCAGACAAUUUUUGUUUCAAUUUAGGUCUUUGAUAAAACUAAUGUUCAUGGUAAUUUGAUUUGCUAUAGCAGACUUUAGAGCAGCCGGGAUGUAUUUUGUCACUUUUAUAUCUCACAGUAGAAGAACUGUAGAUACUCAGACAUUCUUUUUUACUGGGCUCUUUGCCUUUCUAGAAAUUCUGGAAGAUGAGAGGAGCAGGGUUGGCUCCAUGGGGUGAUUUUAGAAUGGGUUAGGACAUGAGGAGCUCUGCACAUACACAGCUGCUGUGAUUUGGGGAACUGGGGUGAAGGUCCAAUAAGUUGAGAACAUCCAGGCCCGUGAGAGUGUACUUCUGCUCUUGGGGAUGUGUGAGUAGAUUCUAGACAGCAGUUUCUGAGUUGGAGAGAAAGCUGGAGGUUUUCAUGUUUGACUUGACUAUGGAGGCAGUGGAGUUAGAUGCAAAUUUUACAUUCUGGGGGGAAGUGCUUGACUUCUCGACUGUGAGGCAAAGUGAGUUUUUAAAAAUAUUUAUUGACGUCCAUCACUGGAUGAACGGAUAAACAAAAUGUGCUGUAUCUACACAAUGACAUAUUAUUCAGCUGCAAAAAGGAAUGAAGUUUGGAUACAUGCGACUAUAUGGAUGGACCGUGAAGACAUCACAUUGAGUGAAAUAGGCCAGACACAAAAGUACGAAUAUUGUAUGAUCUCAUUUAAAUGAAAUAAUUAGAAUAUGCAAAUUCAUAGCACCAGAAAUUAGAAUUUAGGGGCCAGGGUCAAGGUAAGGAAUGAGGAGAAAUCCUUAACUGAUGGAGAGUUUCUGUUUGGGGGAUGGGAAGGUUCUGGCAGUAGAUGAUGGUGAUGGUAGCAAACAUCAUGAAUAUAAUUAACAUCACUGAAU
Long non-coding RNA from Choloepus didactylus (southern two-toed sloth), 3713 nucleotides. RefSeq lists it as uncharacterized. The record is from RefSeq and is a predicted model, not a curated record. NCBI's taxonomy places the organism in Eukaryota, Metazoa, Chordata, Mammalia, Pilosa, Megalonychidae. The transcript is spliced from 3 exons.